This is a non-coding RNA of Pelobates cultripes (western spadefoot toad), 89 nucleotides long. Lineage: Eukaryota; Metazoa; Chordata; Amphibia; Anura; Pelobatidae. The record is from the annotation of a GenBank genome assembly.
CUCCAGAUGUUGCUGAACUACAACUCCCAUAAUUUUCUGCCUAUUUCAUUUAUUGAAUCAUGGGAGUUGUAGUUCAGCAAUAUCUGGAG